UAAUUGAAGAGUUUGAUCAUGGCUCAGAUUGAACGCUGGCGGCAGGCCUAACACAUGCAAGUCGAGCGGUAACAGGGGAAGCUUGCUUCUCGCUGACGAGCGGCGGACGGGUGAGUAAUGUAUGGGGAUCUGCCCGAUAGAGGGGGAUAACUACUGGAAACGGUAGCUAAUACCGCAUAAUCUCU
RNAcentral lists this ribosomal RNA (185 nucleotides) under Providencia rettgeri. Its description in RNAcentral is "partial 16S ribosomal RNA". It matches the Rfam family "Bacterial small subunit ribosomal RNA", at positions 1 to 181 of the family's 1533-position model. RNAcentral also lists the same sequence under 2 other names. The record is from RNAcentral. Lineage: Bacteria; Pseudomonadati; Pseudomonadota; Gammaproteobacteria; Enterobacterales; Morganellaceae.